GGUUUGGUGACCGAAUCUAAGUGACAGAUUUUUAAUCUGUUUAUGAGUCAUAGACUCCCAAGCU
Molecule: transfer RNA, 64 nt
Filed under: Spurilla braziliana
Lineage: Eukaryota; Metazoa; Mollusca; Gastropoda; Nudibranchia; Aeolidiidae
Description: tRNA-Lys
Source: RNAcentral